RNAcentral lists this unclassified non-coding RNA (356 nucleotides) under Hevea brasiliensis (rubber tree). Lineage: Eukaryota; Viridiplantae; Streptophyta; Magnoliopsida; Malpighiales; Euphorbiaceae. The record is from RNAcentral.
GCCAACCUCAAAAGUAUUACUCCGAAGUUCUCUCUUGUUAAUUUGUGAAAAUUUAUCAAUCUUCCAGGUAUAUUUUCCAUAUAGCUCAACCGGUUUAGGUCCACAAUCAUCUUCGUCAUCACUGUCCCAGUAUGGAGGUGAUGUUGACGGAGUUCCAUUUUCCAUCUGCUCACAGUACCUUCGUUCUGCCAACGUUUCACUAUAUUGACACCGCUGCUGCCCCUUUGACACUCCCUCCAGAGACUUCCCUAUUCCUGCCUCCUCGCUUGCGCUUGAAGCCAUUUCUCACUCCACCAACUUCACCUGAAUUAAAAAAAGAGAGGUGUGUCAAUGGCGGAAUGGCAGCUAAGGAGAAA